UCCCAUCGAGCCAGCAAACCAGUCCUACCAUACCACACAGCACGGUGCAUCAACGGUUGCUCUACUUUCACUCGGCCUUCCCACUACGACAACUAUGCCCUGGAUUGUGCUAUCGUAGCACAUCUCCCCCACAAACAUGUCCAACAUACACUUAACAGUUUGUAGUGAUUUUAAUGUGUCAUCUUCGCCUCUUUUAUUAAUCUGUAAUUGUUGAUGUAAAGAAUGAGACAUAUAGAACUG
Molecule: long non-coding RNA, 240 nt
Filed under: Hordeum vulgare
Lineage: Eukaryota; Viridiplantae; Streptophyta; Magnoliopsida; Poales; Poaceae
Description: long non-coding RNA (HVUL_LNC006273)
Source: RNAcentral